GCAAAUUUGAGGUGCUACAGCUGCCCCUAUUCAACCAACUGGAGACCCGAAAAGAAGAAAGCAACGGCUUUCGCACUUUCGAGGUAUCAAGGGAUUGAAUACAAUAAAAGCCUGAAAAUUUGCACGGAAGUGAGGUGAAGUAACAAUGCCUGUCAAAAUCGGCAAAGAGGUGUUCUUGAAAGAAGAAUCUGUCUGGUACGGUGAGAGUCGGUCUGAAUACCGAAAAA
Molecule: long non-coding RNA, 227 nt
Filed under: Lathyrus oleraceus (garden pea)
Lineage: Eukaryota; Viridiplantae; Streptophyta; Magnoliopsida; Fabales; Fabaceae
Description: Pisum sativum (pea) long non-coding RNA (PSAT_LNC014307)
Source: RNAcentral